GUGAGGAAUAUUGGUCAAUGGACGAGAGUCUGAACCAGCCAAGUAGCGUGAAGGAUGACUGCCCUAUGGGUUGUAAACUUCUUUUAUACGGGAAUAAAGUUAGCCACGUGUGGUUUUUUGCAUGUACCGUAUGAAUAAGGAUCGGCUAACUCCGUGCCAGCAGCCGCGGUAAUACGGAGGAUCCGAGCGUUAUCCGGAUUUAUUGGGUUUAAAGGGAGCGUAGGCGGGGUAUUAAGUCAGUUGUGAAAGUUUGCGGCUCAACCGUAAAAUUGCAGUUGAUACUGGUAUCCUUGAGUGCAGCAGAGGUGGGCGGAAUUCGUGGUGUAGCGGUGAAAUGCUUAGAUAUCACGAAGAACUCCGAUUGCGAAGGCAGCUCACUGGAGUGUAACUGACGCUGAUGCUCGAAAGUGUGGGUAUCAAACAGGAUUAGAUACCCGGGUAGUCC
This 445-nucleotide ribosomal RNA is filed under the name uncultured bacterium. RNAcentral describes it as "bacterial SSU rRNA". It matches the Rfam family "Bacterial small subunit ribosomal RNA", at positions 354 to 796 of the family's 1533-position model. The record is from RNAcentral.